Sarcophilus harrisii (Tasmanian devil) is the source of this 1332-nucleotide long non-coding RNA. RefSeq lists it as uncharacterized. The transcript has 4 exons. The record is from RefSeq and is a predicted model, not a curated record. Lineage: Eukaryota; Metazoa; Chordata; Mammalia; Dasyuromorphia; Dasyuridae.
GGGCGGGGGCGGGGGCCCGCACAACCAGGAACCAAAAUAUUAGCCUUCUUAAAAGGGCGAUGCCGCCGGGCUUCCCUCUCGGACAGACCGACCGGCUGCUUUCAACCGGAUCUUUCCUCGCGGCCGGGGAAACCUUGUUCCGACGCCCUGCUCUCUUUCUUUCAGGAGCACGCCCCUUGUAACGUCUGGCCCCCAGCCACGCAGGACACUUUUCCUUUGGGAAACCCGGGAGACGGCCGGACUGGCGCCGGUUUUAAGGGGAGGGCGGAGAAGGGCGUUAGCAGGCCGGGUCCGGGCCCGAGUCCGAACCCCGACCGACGGCUGGUGGCGGGAAUCUGGACCAACCACGUGCGUGCCCGCGUCCCUCAGGAGGUCAAAAGGAGCCCCUGUAACUGGUUGAGCGGAGACAGCCUUUAGGAAGGUCAUUUAGCAGCUGAGCAGAGAAUGGAGUGGAGAAGGAAGAGACCUGAAGCAGAAAGACUGAACAGCAGGUUACUGCAGUGUUCUACAUCUACACAGAUGAGGUUUACAGAGCACUUUACUUACAUCAUAUCAGUUGAGUCUCAUAAACAUCCUCCGAGGAAACAAAUCCAAAGAAACAAAUGAUCGACCACAAGUCACCCAGAUUGUGAGUUAGGAUUCAAAUACAUGUACCCCUGUGUUUGAAACCUCAGCUACCUCUACAUUUCCCAUCAGGCAGCACUCAAUUUGAAUUUCUUUGACUUUAACAAACUCUCCUCUUCCCUUUCCCCUCCAGUUUUCUUUUGUGUGUUGUCUGCCCCCAGAGGAUUAUAAACUCCUAGAGGAAAGAUUGUCUUUUUCAAAUUCUGUAUUCCCAGGCUUUACAUUCUGGACAUCUAGUAGGAACUUAAAUGUUUAUUGACUAUUUAAAUAUAAGAAUUACCUCAGUUCAAUUCUGGACAUUACCGAUAUCACCCCGAUGUUACAGAUAAGUUAAAUGACUUGCAUGUUUAGUAGAUACCUGUGUGUAGGGUAUUUGUCAGUUUUAUUCAUUAGGAUCUCUGAUUUAGAACUAGUGAAGAUGACCUUGGAGGCAAUCUAACGCAAUCCCCGGUACUUUACUGAGGACAUGGUCGACUCGCAUCUAUUUAAAAAAGAAUCAAACAAAGCUAUAUCUUGUUUUUACUAAGUUGGAAUGGAGAUAUGGAGGCAGAGGGAGUGGGUUUGAAUUCCAGCCCCAUUACUGCCCGAGACUCUCCGUGUGUUCCUAAAACGUUUUGUGUAAGGAAAUCUUUCUAUUUCGAAGGCACUUUGGGGAACUGUUCUUUAAAGCGAGACUGUAAAUAAAAAAUAACAGUAAUUGCUUCCUAA